RNAcentral lists this transfer-messenger RNA (363 nucleotides) under Salmonella enterica. It matches the Rfam family "transfer-messenger RNA". From Rfam's summary of the family: Bacterial tmRNA, also known as 10Sa RNA or SsrA, is named for its dual tRNA and mRNA-like properties. Its role is to liberate the mRNA from a stalled ribosome. RNAcentral also lists the same sequence under 2 other names. The record is from RNAcentral. Lineage: Bacteria; Pseudomonadati; Pseudomonadota; Gammaproteobacteria; Enterobacterales; Enterobacteriaceae.
GGGGCUGAUUCUGGAUUCGACGGGAUUUGCGAAACCCAAGGUGCAUGCCGAGGGGCGGUUGGCCUCGUAAAAAGCCGCAAAAAAAUAGUCGCAAACGACGAAAACUACGCUUUAGCAGCUUAAUAACCUGCUUAGAGCCCUCUCUCCCUAGCCUCCGCUCUUAGGACGGGGAGCAAGAGAGGUCAAACCCAAAAGAGAUCGCGUGGAUGCCCUGCCUGGGGUUGAAGCGUUAAAACUAAUCAGGCUAGUCUGGUAGUGGCGUGUCCGUCCGCAGGUGCCAGGCGAAUGUAAAGACUGACUAAGCAUGUAGUACCGAGGAUGUAGGAAUUUCGGACGCGGGUUCAACUCCCGCCAGCUCCACCA